This 210-nucleotide ribosomal RNA is filed under the name Triticum aestivum (bread wheat). RNAcentral's name for it is "partial small subunit ribosomal RNA". The record is from RNAcentral. Lineage: Eukaryota; Viridiplantae; Streptophyta; Magnoliopsida; Poales; Poaceae.
AUGACCGGACGAAACCAAGAAAUAAUACCUUAUGUGCGGAAUUAUAGAAGAUCCCCUUUACGAUCAAACAAUUCCAUCGAAUUGAGUACAAAGCAAAUUGACCUUAAGAAAGGCCGGCUACUAGAGUUCAUGCCAGCGGCCAUGCCAGGGUCCACAGUCGAACAGGUUGCGGGUGGCGGGACGGUUGCUGGCGGGUAUCUCACGCGGUAA